This 138-nucleotide small nucleolar RNA is filed under the name Triticum aestivum (bread wheat). RNAcentral's name for it is "Small nucleolar RNA Z247". It matches the Rfam family "Small nucleolar RNA Z247". Rfam says of the family: Z247 is a member of the C/D class of snoRNA which contain the C (UGAUGA) and D (CUGA) box motifs. Most of the members of the box C/D family function in directing site-specific 2'-O-methylation of substrate RNAs. The record is from Rfam by way of RNAcentral. Lineage: Eukaryota; Viridiplantae; Streptophyta; Magnoliopsida; Poales; Poaceae.
CCCAUCGAUGACGAUGAGCUUGUCUCCUACAUCACCGCCGGCCUCGACAUGGAGUACCAACCCCUCUUCUCCGCCAACGACGCGCGCACCGACCCAUCAGCAUCGACGACCUCUACGCUCAGAUGAGCAACUUUGAUC